Molecule: long non-coding RNA, 370 nt
Organism: Syngnathoides biaculeatus (alligator pipefish)
Lineage: Eukaryota; Metazoa; Chordata; Actinopteri; Syngnathiformes; Syngnathidae
Exons: 3
Source: RefSeq, a predicted model, not a curated record
CCUUGCCAAGCCUGUGUGUGUUACCUCACACAUCCCAUAGACAUGCAUGGUAGAUGGAUUUAAGACUAAAUUUCCCGUACAUAUGAAGGUGUGGGAUGAUUUCCCACUGCGUUGCCAGAGUCCACACUCCAGCUCCAUGAAACCAAUCAUUCUGUGGCAUCAUGAAAACAGCACGUGACAGCGCGGUCACCAUGGGCAGCCCCCCCUUGUGACUGUCCCCACAGGGGAGGAGCAUUGAGGUAUGACACAUCAGGAUACAGCAAUCCUCCCCCUACCACGUGAAGGCACAUCCCCAUGACAGCUCCGAUCAAUUAUACACUAUGAAAGGCUAGUCCCAGAACUGCCACAGAAACUUCCUAAUGCCUUUUUC